This 282-nucleotide long non-coding RNA is filed under the name Panax ginseng (ginseng). Its description in RNAcentral is "long non-coding RNA (PGIN_LNC000251)". The record is from RNAcentral. Lineage: Eukaryota; Viridiplantae; Streptophyta; Magnoliopsida; Apiales; Araliaceae.
AUAGCUUAUAUACUCCAUAUAUUUUUCCCCCAAACUUGAGUUCAUAUCUAAAUUCAGUCUUCACUAACUAUUUAACUUGCUCUUUCAUUUCACUAGCAUUCAUCCUUUAGAACUCUAUUAUCUAUCCAUUUAAACUAUCAUAGCUAACAUGGUCAUUUUGCAAAAUGUGCUAUCCUUGAAAUAUCAGUGUCAAACAGAUAGGGAUUCAAAUCAUGUCAAGAAAAUCAUAUCACUAACUCAACAAUCCUUACUAGACUUGUUCAUGCAAUUUUAAGUUCAUCA